This 253-nucleotide ribosomal RNA is filed under the name uncultured bacterium. Its description in RNAcentral is "partial 16S ribosomal RNA". It matches the Rfam family "Bacterial small subunit ribosomal RNA", at positions 524 to 776 of the family's 1533-position model. The record is from RNAcentral.
UACAGAGGUCUCAACCGUUGUUCGGAUUCAUUGGGCGUAAAGGGUGCGUAGGCGGUCGUGCAAGUCGGAUGUGAAAUCUCAGGGCUCAACCCUGAAACUGCAUUCGAUACUGCGCGGCUAGAGUGCUGGAGGGGAGACUGGAAUUUACGGUGUAGCAGUGAAAUGCGCAGAUAUCAGGAGGAACACCGGUGGCGAAGGCGGUUCUCUGGGCAUUACCUGACGCUGAGACGCGAAAGCGUGGGGAGCAAACAGG